This 71-nucleotide small RNA is filed under the name uncultured Streptococcus sp. The record is from RNAcentral. Lineage: Bacteria; Bacillati; Bacillota; Bacilli; Lactobacillales; Streptococcaceae.
CCUGUGCAACCGCACGAACAUCGUUGCUCUAAGAGGUUCGUCCCACGAUGCUAGGCGAGUCUUCACAAAAA